ACUAUUUUGGCAGAAAAAUGUAAUGAUUUUAGAAGUCAUAAAUAUAUAGUUAGAUUAUAUAGAUAGUA
RNAcentral lists this transfer RNA (68 nucleotides) under Vagrans egista. RNAcentral's name for it is "tRNA-Leu". Lineage: Eukaryota; Metazoa; Arthropoda; Insecta; Lepidoptera; Nymphalidae. The record is from RNAcentral.